AGCAGCCGCGGUAAUUCCAGCUCCAAUAGCGUAUAUUAAAGUUGUUGCAGUUAAAAAGCUCGUAGUUGAACUUCAGGCCUGUCCAGAUGGUCCGCCUUAAUUGGUGUGUACUGUCCUUGGGUGGGUCCUACCUUCUGGCGAAGCGGCAUGGCCUUAGUUGGUUGUGUUGGGGAACCAGGACUUUUACUGUGAAAAAAUUAGAGUGUUCAAAGCAGGCAUAAUAUGCUCGAAUACAUUAGCAUGGAAUAAUGGAAUAGGACGAUGGUUCUAUUUUGUUGGUUCUAGGACCGUUGUAAUGAUUAAUAGGGAUAGUUGGGGGCAUUAGUAUUCAAUUGUCAGAGGUGAAAUUCUUGGAUUUAUUGAAGACUAACUACUGCGAAAGCAUUUGCCAAGGAUGUUUUCAUUAAUCAAGAACGAAAGUUAGGGGAUCGAAGACGAUCAGAUACCGUC
This 450-nucleotide ribosomal RNA is filed under the name uncultured Glomeromycotina. RNAcentral's name for it is "bacterial SSU rRNA". It matches the Rfam family "Eukaryotic small subunit ribosomal RNA", at positions 569 to 1019 of the family's 1831-position model. The record is from RNAcentral. Lineage: Eukaryota; Fungi; Glomeromycota.